ACAUGACAAGUCCGAACGGUGAUGCUCCAGCCUUGCUGGAGUGGAUCAGUGGCGAACGGGUGAGUAACACGUGAGCAACCUGCCCCUCACUUCGGGAUAAGCCUUGGAAACGGGGUCUAAUACCGGAUAUGAGCACCUGCCGCAUGGUGGGUGUUGGAAAGUUUUUCGGUGGGGGAUGGGCUCGCGGCCUAUCAGCUUGUUGGUGGGGUAAUGGCCUACCAAGGCGUCGACGGGUAGCCGGCCUGAGAGGGCGACCGGCCACACUGGGACUGAGACACGGCCCAGACUCCUACGGGAGGCAGCAGUGGGGAAUAUUGCACAAUGGGCGAAAGCCUGAUGCAGCGACGCCACGUGAGGGAUGACGGCCUUCGGGUUGUAAACCUCUUUCAGCAGGGAAGAAGCGCAAGUGACGGUACCUGCAGAAGAAGCGCCGGCUAACUACGUGCCAGCAGCCGCGGUAAUACGUAGGGCGCAAGCGUUGUCCGGAAUUAUUGGGCGUAAAGAGCUCGUAGGCGGUCUGUCGCGUCUGGUGUGAAAUCUCAUGGCUCAACUGUGAGCUUGCAUCGGGUACGGGCAGACUAGAGUGCUGUAGGGGAGACUGNAAUUCCUGGUGUAGCGGUGGA
Molecule: ribosomal RNA, 623 nt
Filed under: uncultured bacterium
Lineage: Bacteria
Description: bacterial SSU rRNA
Rfam family: Bacterial small subunit ribosomal RNA
Source: RNAcentral